RNAcentral lists this long non-coding RNA (496 nucleotides) under Anas platyrhynchos platyrhynchos (common mallard). Its description in RNAcentral is "lncRNA (ENSAPLG00000028985.1)". The record is from RNAcentral. Lineage: Eukaryota; Metazoa; Chordata; Aves; Anseriformes; Anatidae.
GUUUUCUCCAAAAGCAAGAAAAUAAAUCACAUGAUUUCACAUCUGGAGAAUAAAACUGAAGGAAGCUAUCCCAAAUUUCAGGUUACCUCUCAAAAGGACCCUCAUGGAACCUUUCUGAGGUACAUCAGAGGAACAGAAGACAAAGCACAUUGAUUCUGACUGCCCUGUCUGCUCUGAAAACAUCUGGUAACAGUUCUGAACAACCUCAAACAGGUACAACAUGCAGGAUAAGAACUUCCUGAGAAUUGCUUAUAUAUUGCGUGUUCAGGUCAAAACAAGCACAGCCACUUCCCAGCAUGAUAUUUCCUAUUGCAACUCCUCCUCCCCUCCUCCAGUCCACCAAAUUCAAACAAAGCACUCUGACAAGUGGGGUUCGUUCUGCAGCUCAUACCAGGAUGUGAUGAGCCAACCAGGGGAUGUUUUAUGGUGUUUGCAUGGCAUGGAUCAACUUUCCUCAUCCUUGAGUAAUAAAAUCAAAAAUGCAGGUAAAUGCUGA